Non-coding RNA from Physocladia obscura, 86 nucleotides. NCBI's taxonomy places the organism in Eukaryota, Fungi, Chytridiomycota, Chytridiomycetes, Chytridiales, Chytriomycetaceae. The record is from the annotation of a GenBank genome assembly.
GGAUGAGUGGCAGAGUGGUCGAAUGCGGCCAGCUUGAAACUGGAAACAUCUCUGAAGUUUUGGUAGUUCGAAUCCUACCUCAUCCG